AGUGAACGCUGGCGGUAGGCCUAACACAUGCAAGUCGAACGGCAGCACAGUAAGAGCUUGCUCUUACGGGUGGCGAGUGGCGGACGGGUGAGGAAUACAUCGGAAUCUACUUUUUCGUGGGGGAUAACGUAGGGAAACUUACGCUAAUACCGCAUACGACCUACGGGUGAAAGCAGGGGAUCUUCGGACCUUGCGCGAUUGAAUGAGCCGAUGUCGGAUUAGCUAGUUGGCGGGGUAAAGGCCCACCAAGGCGACGAUCCGUAGCUGGUGUGAGAGGAUGAUCAGCCACACUAGAACUGAAACACGGUCCAGACUCCUACGGGAGGCAGCAGUGGGGAAUAUUGGACAAUGGGCGCAAGCCUGGUCCAGCCAUACCGCGUGGGUGAAGAAGGCCUUCGGGUUGUAAAGCCCUUUUGUUGGGAAAGAAAAGCAGCAGGUUAAUACCCCGCUGUUCUGACGGUACCUAAAGAAUAAGCACCGGCUAACUUCGUG
RNAcentral lists this ribosomal RNA (492 nucleotides) under uncultured bacterium. RNAcentral describes it as "partial 16S ribosomal RNA". It matches the Rfam family "Bacterial small subunit ribosomal RNA", at positions 29 to 507 of the family's 1533-position model. The record is from RNAcentral.